This 1927-nucleotide ribosomal RNA is filed under the name metagenome. Its description in RNAcentral is "bacterial LSU rRNA". It matches the Rfam family "Bacterial large subunit ribosomal RNA", at positions 3 to 1973 of the family's 2925-position model. The record is from RNAcentral.
UCAAGUGACUAAGUGCAUGUGGCGGAUGCCUUGGCGAUCACAGGCGAAGAAAGACGCGGCAGCCUGCGAAAAGCUGCGGGGAGCUGGCAAACGAGCUUUGAUCCGCAGAUAUCUGAAUGGGGGAACCCACACCGCAAGGUGUAUCCGUGACUGAAUACAUAGGUUACGGAGGCGAACGAGGAGAACUGAAACAUCUAAGUAUCCUCAGGAAAAGAAAUCAACCGAGAUUCCGGCAGUAGCGGCGAGCGAACCCGGAGGAGCCUAGCUUUUGAUAGUACGAACUUUAGCCGAAAGGUCCUGGAAAGGCCUGCUAUAGUGGGUGAUAGCCCCGUAGGCGAAAGAGUUGGUACGGUACUAAGGAAGCGAGAAGUAGAGCGGGACACGUGGAAUCCUGUUCGAAGACGGGGGGACCAUCCUCCAAGGCUAAAUACUCGUGAUCGACCGAUAGUGAACCAGUACCGUGAGGGAAAGGCGAAAAGAACCCCGGGAGGGGAGUGAAAUAGAACCUGAAACCGCAUGCAUACAAACAGUAGGAGCCUCACCAGAGGUGACUGCGUACCUUUUGCAUAAUGGGUCAGCGACUUACAUUCUGUGGCGAGCUUAACCGAAUAGGGGAGGCGCAGCGAAAGCGAGUUCGAAAUGAGCGUCCAGUCGCAGGGUGUAGACCCGAAACCAGAUGAGCUAUCCAUGGCCAGGUUGAAGGUGUGGUAACACACACUGGAGGACCGAACCGACUAGUGUUGCAAAAUUAGCGGAUGAGCUGUGGAUAGGGGUGAAAGGCCAAACAAAUCUGGAGAUAGCUGGUUCUCCCCGAAAACUAUUGAGGUAGUGCCUCGUGUGUCGCUCCAGGGGGUAGAGCACUGUUUUGGCUAGGGGGACAUGGAGUCUUACCAAACCAAGGCAAACUCCGAAUACCUGGAAGCGUAAGCACGGGAGACAGAGCACCGGGUGCUAACGUCCGGACUCAAAAGGGAAACAACCCAGACCGCCGGCUAAGGUCCCCAAUAACAGCUAAGUGGAAAACGAAGUGGAAAGGCCGUGACAACCAGGAAGUUGGCUUAGAAGCAGCCAUCCUUCAAAGAAAGCGUAAUAGCUCACUGGUCGAGUCCUUCUGCGCGGAAGAUGUAACGGGGCUAAGCUGUUAACCGAAGCCGCGGAUGCACUGAUUAUUCAGUGCGUGGUAGGGGAGCGUUCUGUAAGUCUGCGAAGGCGGUUCGAGAGGACUGCUGGAGAUAUCAGAAGUGCGAAUGCUGACAUGAGUAACGUUAAAGCAGGUGAAAAGCCUGCUCGCCGUAAGCCCAAGGAUUCCUGCUCUACGUUCAUCGGAGCAGGGUGAGUCGGCUCCUAAGGUCAGGCCGAAAGGCGUAGCCGAUGGGAAUCAGGUUAAUAUUCCUGAACCUGCGUCAGAUGCGAUGGGGGGACGGAGCAUGAAAGAUCAUCCGGGUGUUGGAUGUCCCGGUUGACGAGCGUAGGAGGUCUGCAGGCAAAUCCGCAGACGCAUCUCCAAGGCGAAGUCACGUGCCGCCACGGCGGCGAAGUGAUCGGAAGUGCUUCCAAGAAAAGCCUCUAAGCACCAGUCUGACGCGGACCGUACCGCAAACCGACACUGGUGGGCGAGCUGAAUAUGCUCAGGCGCUUGAGAGAACUCGGGAGAAGGAACUCGGCAAAUUGACACCGUAACUUCGGAAGAAGGUGUGCCGUAGUACCGUGAGAGGAGAGACACCUUGAGCGGGAAUCGGUCUCAGAGAAUAGGUGGCUGCGACUGUUUAUUAAAAACACAGCACUCUGCAAAGUCGAAAGACGACGUAUAGGGUGUGAUGCCUGCCCGGUGCUGGAAGAUUAAUUGAUGGGGUGAGAGCCCUUGAUCGAAGUCCCAGUAAACGGCGGCCGUAACUAUAACGGUCCUAAGGUAGCGAAAUUCCUUGUC